GAUGAACGCUGGCGGCAGGCCUAACACAUGCAAGUCGAGCGGUAGAGAGAAGCUUGCUUCUCUUGAGAGCGGCGGACGGGUGAGUAAUGCCUAGGAAUCUGCCUGGUAGUGGGGGAUCACGUUCGGAAACGGACGCUAAUACCGCAUACGUCCUACGGGAGAAAGAAGGAGACCUUCGGGCCUUGCGCUAUCAGAUGAGCCUAGGUCGGAUUAGCUAGUUGGUGAGGUAAUGGCUCACCAAGGCGACGAUCCGUAACUGGUCUGAGAGGAUGAUCAAUCACACUGGAACUGAGACACGGUCCAGACUCCUACGGGAGGCAGCAGUGGGGAAUAUUGGACAAUGGGCGAAAGCCUGAUCCAGCCAUGCCGCGUGUGUGAAGAAGGUCUUCGGAUGUAAAGCACUUUAAGUUGGGAGGAAGGGCAGUUACCUAAUACGUAAUUGAUUUGACGUUACCGACAGAAUAAUCACCGGCUAACUCUGUGCCAGCAGCCGCAGUAA
RNAcentral lists this ribosomal RNA (499 nucleotides) under uncultured bacterium. RNAcentral describes it as "partial 16S ribosomal RNA". It matches the Rfam family "Bacterial small subunit ribosomal RNA", at positions 28 to 523 of the family's 1533-position model. The record is from RNAcentral.